GUAGAACCAAGUUUGGCUGCUGUAGCUUUUCUAGUGCAACUAAAUUCAUUUAUCUUUCCUUCUGUUCUUUUGCUUCCUGCUUUUGCUCUAGUAAAACUUCUAACUGUGAACAUUUUUCAGCCCAGGCACCUAUCACUAAAGAGAUGAAGAAGCCACCUUCUGAUAAUUUUGAUGGGAAUGCUGACCCUGAGAGUAAAAAUGACUCUAGAGAAAAUGACAACCAAAAUAAGAUGCCCAGAAGAGCUACCCCAACUGACAUGAAGAUGCCUCCACCUGUGCAACAAAUGCGGCCCAAGCCUGCCUACUUGAGUUCAAAAGAAAUUACUGCAGAAAAAAGCUUCUCUGCUGUUCUUUCUGACAGACUAGAACAGGGCAUGCAACAGUUUUGCUCUGAAAAAAACACAUUCUACAACACACUGAUGAGCCGAGGAUACUGGGAACCUUUGCAUGAGUGUAGCUGUGCAUUUGUGCAGCUGGCUGCAACUCCCCCUAAAAAAGUAGUGAUCUGAUGAGGACGGCCAGGCUGCUGGGCAGAUCGAAAAGGCAGAGUUGCUGUGCACUCUGCUGCUGUCUCUCCUCUUCAGCCUUUUCUGCCAGAUGCUUGAAAUCUCCAGCGUUUUACAAAUCCAGCUGCUGCCUUCAUCUCUGGUUAUCCAUAUAUAUCAACUGUUUGCUGCACUGAUUGCAAUGCCUGUGAAAAUUCUAAUUUAUUUGAAACACCAAAUUUGUGCUCAGUGGGCUUCUAUCAUGAAGAAGAGAAAGAAAAUAGUCUCUGGGACUAAAGANUGAACNUAGAAGGAAUUAAAAUAUACCUACACCACUAAACAAAUAGCUGCUUUAUUGUAAUAUUCACUUGUUCAAGGUACUGAAAUAAAAUUAGUUAGCCUUUUGUUUAACA
RNAcentral lists this long non-coding RNA (898 nucleotides) under Salvator merianae (Argentine black and white tegu). RNAcentral's name for it is "lncRNA (ENSSMRG00000015090.1)". The record is from RNAcentral. Lineage: Eukaryota; Metazoa; Chordata; Lepidosauria; Squamata; Teiidae.